This 460-nucleotide ribosomal RNA is filed under the name uncultured bacterium. RNAcentral describes it as "partial 16S ribosomal RNA". It matches the Rfam family "Bacterial small subunit ribosomal RNA", at positions 338 to 795 of the family's 1533-position model. The record is from RNAcentral.
CCUACGGGAGGCAGCAGUGAGGAAUAUUGGUCAAUGGGCGAGAGCCUGAACCAGCCAAGUCGCGUGAAGGAUGAAGGAUCUAUGGUUUGUAAACUUCUUUUAUAUGGGAAUAAAGUGAGGAACGUGUUCCUUUUUGUAUGUACCAUAUGAAUAAGCAUCGGCUAACUCCGUGCCAGCAGCCGCGGUAAUACGGAGGAUGCGAGCGUUAUCCGGAUUUAUUGGUGUUAAAGGGUGCGUAGGUGGUUGAUUAAGUCAGCUGGGAAAGUGUGUGGCUCAACCAUAAAAUUGCCGUUGAAACUGGUUGACUUGAGUAUAGUAGAGGUAGGCGGAAUGCGUGGUGUAGCGGGGAAAUGCAUAGAUAUCACGCAGAACGCCGAUUGCGAAGGCAGCUUACUAACCUAUAACGGACACUGAAGCACGAAAGCGUGGGGAUCAAACAGGAUUAGAUACCCUGGUAGGC